Molecule: RNA transcript, 5993 nt
Organism: Triticum aestivum (bread wheat)
Lineage: Eukaryota; Viridiplantae; Streptophyta; Magnoliopsida; Poales; Poaceae
Gene name: AP2-associated protein kinase 1
Exons: 8
Source: RefSeq, a predicted model, not a curated record
GAAGUCUUCUUCCACGCCACGCGUCCCCGCGGCGACGGAAAUCCCACUUUCCUCGCCUCGCCGCCGUAACAAACAAAUCUUUCCUCUUUUCUUCUUCCUCCUGCUCCCGGUCUGCCCGCCGCUAACCCCUACGAGCAGGCAACCCCUCCAGCCCCAAAGACAUACCACCCCCCAGGGCCUCCAGAUCGGAGUUGGCGAGUCCCGGGCCCUACCACACCUGCUGCUCCGAGUGAGGCGGCCGGGUUGGGGGUUGGUCGCUUCCUGGCUGGCCGCCCACGACCAGUUCUUGAUCCCGGACUGCUUCAAGCGGGCCGGGUCUGGUCGUUUCUUGGGUUGAACUGAUUGGUUGCUGCUGACUUGGUCGAUCUCCUCUUCUUCCAUUGCUGCUUCGCCGUGUCGGCUGGCCAUUGCAGACAAGGUGUUUGUUUGGCGGCAGCGGGGGCUGCUGAGCUAGGCUGCUCGCUGGCUUCUUCCUUGGUGUUCGGCGGUAAGCCAGGUAGGUAGAUCUGCUCGGAGGGACGGCCAUUCGGCAGUUGCCGUAUCAAAGCUAGAUAGACAGGCAGAUCUUGAGAGACGCCGAUCACUGUUCUGCCGCUUGGACGGACCCUGUUGAUUCGUAGCUCUCAAGCUUUACCAUGCUGAGAAAUCCUUGCUGAGUGUGGAUAAACUUCACAUAGGAGGUUUCUGAGGCCGAACCAGGCGCUUUUGACUUGUGAGGGCUGAGGAUCAGUAAUUAAUUAGAUCAUGUGGAAACCGUUCAGGCAGCUCAUGCCCAAAGAGCAUUCCGGCCCUUCUGGCGGCCUCGAGGGCCGAACCAUCGAUGUCGGCAAUGUGAAAGUGCACGUCCGGGAAGCCAUUGCCGAGGGUGGCUUCUCGUGCGUGUACCUCGCCCGAGACCUGACCAACCCGGCGAAGCAGUACGCGCUCAAGCAUGUCAUUGUCCAUGACAAGGAGUCGCUGGACCUGGUGCAGAAGGAGAUCACGGUGAUGAGGGCGCUCAAGGGGCACCCGAACGUGGUCACUCUCGUCGCGCAUGCCAUACUGGAUAUGGGCCGUGGGAGGGAGGCACUUCUGCUGAUGGAGUUCUGCGAGAGAUCGCUGGUUUCUGCCUUGGACACUAGAGGUACUGCAGGGUUCUAUGAUGAGGAGCAGGUUGCUCUCAUUUUCCGGGAUGUUUGCAAUGCGGUCUUCGCGAUGCACUGCCAGACACCACCUGUUGCUCACAGGGACCUAAAGGCUGAAAAUGUGCUUCUUGGUGCUGACGGGGCUUGGAAAUUAUGUGAUUUUGGUAGUGUAUCAACAAACCAUAAGUGCUUUGAUAAACCAGAGGAGAGGGGCAUUGAAGAAGAUGUCAUCAGAAAACAUACAACUCCUGCUUAUAGGGCUCCUGAGAUGUGGGACUUAUACAGGAGGGAAGUUAUUAGUGAGAAAGUAGAUAUAUGGGCUCUUGGAUGUCUCAUGUAUAGAAUCUGCUACUUAAAAUCAGCUUUUGAUGGAGAAUCAAAGCUUCAGAUCCUCAAUGGGAACUAUCGUAUCCCUGAAUUACCGAAGUACUGUUCUUCCAUUACAAGUCUGAUCGAAGAGAUGCUUCAGUCCUCUCCAGAUGCCAGACCAGACAUUACACAGGUAUGGUUUCGUGUUAAUGAGUUACUUCCUUUGGAGCUGCAAAAGGAUUUACCUGAUGGAUCCCCAUCUGGAUCAGCAUUUGAAUUGCAAACUACUGAAGAUGAAGGACCCUCUCCAUCAUGGUCAAGAGACAAUGUGAGAAGUACACCUCCGAAAGGCCCUUCCAGUUUGAGGUCACAAGUUCCUGUUGAGAGUAAGGGUUCUGCAGGUGCAUUUUGGUCAACUCAACAUGCACAAGAACUAGCUUUUGCGGAUGACAAGGGGUCAGUUCUAGAUCAAGAGCCCAUAUAUGAUGGCAUAACAAAGCAACCUCAGGCAAAGAACCAGAACACGACACGGAAUGCAUACAGACAGUCUCUUUCUGCUUCUGUUGAUAGUUCUCCUGGGGAUUUUGAAAUAAGGUUUUCUCCAAAUGGUUCAGAAUAUGGCCUAGAGAAAACCCAAAACACUAAACCAGAUAACAAAACCAGUGCACAGACUGCUACUUUUAGCUCCUUUGUGGCAGACUUUGAUAAUGUUAAGGUGAGCUCAGAGGACAAUGCCGGCAGUUUAAACACGACAAGUAAAUUGAAAGAACAACAGCUGGAGGCCGAAGUAACUUUACUCAAGGAGCAAUUGAAGAUAGCAAACUUGGAGAAGGAAGAAAUUUCACUGAAGUUUGAUAGAUUGUCAGCCAUUUGCUCCUCUCAGAGGCGGGAGAUACAGGAACUUAAACAAGCUCUAGCCACAGCUUCUGCACCAGCGCCAGUUAAGGAGUUGAAAGAAAAUUUGAAGGCUGAAUUCUCCCCACCCAGCACAAGCCUUGACACUCCGCCAAGGGAGAAGAUUGCAGGAACCCCACCAGAGCUCCGGCAAGGUCUAUUUACAUCAAGUCCAGGGACACCAAGCCCAGAUCCCAAGCCAUGGUCCGCUUUUCCUGAAGAGCCGAAAGCUCAAGCAGUUGUAAAAUGUGCCCGCCCGAGGUCGGUCCGAACUUUAAGGGCAUCACAAAGCAACAAAACCGGCUCGCUUAGUCAGUCAAAAGCAAACUCUGGUGCCGUCCCCUUUGCCUUCGGUCAAGAUAGCUUUAAGGCUGUACCUUCUGGCACCGUGCCUUCUGAGAUGUCAAAUUUGGGGAAUGCUUCUCAGUCCCUCAACACUCUGAAGGCUGAAGUGGAGAAAGAUGCACCCUACCAACCAGCUGGAUGGACUGGGUUUUAAUGUGCUAUCGCCAAUAAGGAUAUUUGGUAUCUGAUGAGACUAUACUCCUAUAGAAUUACAGAAAUAUGGUCCAUCCACUGUAUCAUAAUCAUAUAAAUUGUGUGGUGUUGAAAGGGAGCAAAAUGAGCCCAACCUAGGAGUGCCAGAAUUGACGUAGGAUGUAGCACUAUCAAUGUUUGGACACAGCAUGUACACAUACCAAGGUAAUACAUUGUUAUCUUUCGAGACUUUUGAAAUAAUUAUUUUAUAGUAAUAUGCAAUGUCGAGAAUACUGUUCUAUUUUGGGGUCAACACAUACAUCUUGCAAGCAUGAGAAUCCAUCUUAUUCGUCAGGUUUCCUUGCAUUGAUGAUGUAACCUCAUCCUGCAAGCACAAAAAAUCACACGCAGGAAAAGGGGGUUGAAGAACAGUUUUGUAUGCAAAUCAGAGAAUGUUUUGUGGUUUUAACCAUGAGGCUCAUAUGAUUAGACAAAGUGCUUACUGUCCACAGAUCAUGAGCAUCUACAACAGCUGAUUGGUUUAGACCAAUGUUGCUCCAACUAGCAGUAAUAGAUGCUUCAGCAGGCCCUCUGUUCCACAGCACAAGAGCAACUCUCCCUCGACUUAAGCGACCAGCCCAAACCUAAGCCCAAGUUAAUCAAGUAUAGAUGAAUUAUACUAAGUGUUGAACAUAACAUGGUACUAUGAUUUUUGCCUACUACAUGAUACUAUAAAUAAAAAAGCUUAUGUUAUAUUCCUUUUACUUACUUCUAGAUCUCCAUCUUGUUGCACUUUACGCCCUUGUACCCCAAGUUUGUCUAAUGAUGAAUCGGCAAAGCUUAGUACCAUCUUUAAAUUUUCACAUGACCAUUUUGGAGAAAUGACUCUACCUUGAUUAACUGCAAUGACAUUCUGAUUGGUGAUGAUUUCCUUGGUUUCAGCGCUCAUUGAGCUGAUAUCGCAGCCAAGUAUCAGAGGAGCCUAGUUGAAUCCAGAUCAACAACAUAAUCUUGUGAAAAUUCUUGCCUAACAAUGCUGUUCUGUUGGUUUACUUUUUUUUAUCUCUCAUGCAAUGAAAGUCACUUCAUCAUUACCUUGACUAGAGCCCAUAUGCUGAAAUGAGAACGGUACUCUUCUAUUGUCAUCCCCCCGUUUCCUACUUCCAGCAUGUCUGGGUCUGAAGCAGAAACAUUCAAAGAGAUCACUGUGAAUUGUCAUCACAAGCACAAAAAAAAUAUUGUUGGGAACAAAAACCCCAGAUCCUACAUCCGUCUUCCUACACACUUGCGCAUGAUCAAAAUUUAUCAUAGGCCUACAGAGACUAACCAUUCCAUCCACCAGGCCCUGCAUAAGGUGCCCACUUGUCGUUCUUGUCAGCGUUGUCCGUCAUGCUGCCCAAUUUGCAGUAGUAUUUCAGGAUAGGAAUUAGAAUCUCCAUCUAAACUUUGCAGAAGUUUGGAAGGGGCAGUAAAAGUUCUCCAGGAUGUAAACUUGUUCACCUUUCCCAUGUGUUCUUGAUGUCUUCUGUUGUCCUCCAGCUGUUUGCAAAGCUGCCUGCCCAUGUCGCUGGAUCAUCCACACCCCUGCACAUCAUUGUUGUUUUUUCUCAAACAGAUGAAUGGAAUUCGAACCCUCCCUUUUGGUCUGUUGAAAAGCAAGAAUCAGUUACCAUUCGCAAAGGGAGAAGAAAACGUCCCUUCCAGAAUUCAUAAGGGCUUCACUCAUCCUGUUAUAUCUGCAUUUUUGUUGUGAAUAUGUCAAAAUAUCUAAAUCCGGAUGAAAUUUGACAAGCUUCUAAGUUAUGUAGUUGUAAAGGUUACCUUGUUAGUGGGCUGAUGUUUUGGUUGUUGCAGUUGUCAUACUUCAGGUAGUCAAUCCCCUUGUAACACAACAAUUUAGAAGAAUCAGUUUUUCUCCUGCUUUGGAACCCCUACCAGGAAAACCAUUCUCGACAUGUGUAAGUUUUAGAUGAUCUAAUGAACAUUUUAAUUGGUUUACCCAAGCUGCCAAAGUUCUCGCAUCUUGGUCUUCGUAUCCUAGCGAACCGGGCUGCAGUCUGCUGCAAGUUCGCAGUCUGAAAAGAGAGAGUGGUGUGAUUUAAGCAAGGGAGAGAUCCAUGUGGACUGGGGGGACUUGUCACGUGUUCCCAGUCAUAUUAGAAACAUUUUGACUGGCUAAUUUUCUGCGGGUUCUCUAUAAAGCGCAUACCCUGCAUCGCCGUAGAGUCCAAGUUUGAGCCCUUUCCCGUGCACAUAAUCUGCUAAGGCCCUCAUUCCUGAUGGAAAUGCUGUUCCAUUUGCAGCUAGAUUGCCCUGUAAAAUAACAGUCGGUCUUUUUAACGACUGAACGAAACCUAUGGAAAUACGCCAUUCUAACAUUGCAGCUGAAAAGCUUAUGCUGGUUUCACAUGACUGAGGAUCAAUAAUGGAUUUUAAAAUUUGUUUUGCUCUUUCUAUUUACACACAUAUCAUCUCUUCUAUUAACAUGUACUACUAGUCACCCACCUGGGAGUCUCUGUCAUGAGAUGCCCAACAGUCGUCUGCAGUUUCAAAACAAAUAUAUCCACUGUGAAUAUUGCAGGCCUCAUUUCUAAACAUGAAGAGUUGAAAAGGGGGAAAACCAAAGCGAGCGAGAAACGCGAAGCGAUUACCUAAGUUGAUAUACUCAUAUCCCAGUUUCGCAAGACCAGUAUCCACCAUGGCAUCAGCUACACAAACACAAUGUGUUUUAUUUAUUUUUUGCAGCAAUGCAAGGUUUGGUUUUCCUGGCUAAGAGAGAGCAAGGGAGCACCAUCCUUACCUAUUUUUCGGAUUAUCACCUCAUCUAUCUUGCAGCCGAAGUGGUUCCAGCUAUUCCACCUGAAUACACCGUGCUGUCAGUUCAGCAAGACUUCAUUGUUGGAAAUAUUUCAUGUUCGGUUUAGAGGGGCUUGAAGAGGAUUCGGGCCUCUUCGAAAUAUCAUAGGAAUAUGAAACUUGUAGGAACUGAGAUGUCAUGUAUUUUAAAUCCUAUGAAUAGGAAUAGAAAAAUAGAUGUCUGUUGGUUCAUAUCAUAGGAUUUUUUUCCAUUGAGUCUAGGCUAAUGUUUGUUUUCCUAAGAUGUGCAAGAUGGUAACAAUUCCUCCGUAGAAAUAUGAUUCUAUUCUUACAAACCAAAGGACUAUAAAAGAUUUUUUUUCCUUUUGAAAA